Molecule: long non-coding RNA, 1880 nt
Filed under: Sus scrofa (pig)
Lineage: Eukaryota; Metazoa; Chordata; Mammalia; Artiodactyla; Suidae
Description: lncRNA (ENSSSCG00065070959.1)
Source: RNAcentral
AUUGGUUUGUGGUUGCUGAUGACUGAAUUUUGCUCUGCUUUCUCUUUGAUGUGGCAGUGAAACCAAUAGCUGUUUCUUUUCUUUUCUUUUCUUUUCUUCUUUUUAGCCCACUUUCCUCCUUUUGUGUGCAAGAGGAAAUUCUCGUGUGUGAUUCAUUUGACAAUCUCAGCUUCUUCUUUCUGGGGAAGUAACUCUACUUAGUAGUCAUCACCUCAAAGUGGCUAGCUGUUGGGCAAGAAGUUGCUAUUGCAUCCGCAUGUCUAGGAUUUAAUCUUCAGAGAAGAUGAUAUUCUAUCGCAGUGAAAUUCUGUCUUGCCCAAGGGACUUUAGGCAUGGGAGGUGAGCCAAGCGCUGUCAAGGGGGAAGCUGACGCAGUCGAGGCUGGUUCUGGUUCUAGAGAACUGUGUUGCUGGUGCUUAGAGGAAUGGUGGAGACUAGAAGGUUUCUUCCUCCCUGCUUUCAAGCAAGUAGAGACUGUUCCAUCCUGAUUACAAGAGCAUCCAGCUUGACCCUGCUGAUCCUGAGUCAGCACUCUGCACUGCUCUGCUCUUUCCACACCAAAACUCUCUGUCUGGUCUCCACAUCCAGCGACAGUGCUGAACUUUUGCUUCAUACAACGUUUCGAGUAAGUAAAAGCACCCAUUACAUAGUUGGCACUCGCAUAUUUGCACCUUUUCUUUCAUAUGAGAUCCAAGGUUUCAUUUGUAGACUCUUUGUGCCCUCUCUCCAUGAUAUUUCAUACUGUCGACGUCCAGCUGGUUGAAUUUCUCUUCAGGUUUUCCGUGUUAUCUCUCUUAUAGAUUUCUGUGUUACUCUAACAUUCGUUUCCAUUACCAAGAUAACACUACAGGGCUGUCUUUUUGACCAUACAGGUGGACCUUGUUUUGUAGCGAUUUGCUUUGUUGUGCCUCUCAGGUAUUUUGUUUUUGACAAGUUAAAGGUUUCGGGCAACUAUGCAUUGGGCACAUCUAUUGGCACCGCUUUUACCUUUUAAUCUCCUCCCCUAACUUGCUCCCCACUGGUGACUACUAGUUUGUUAUCUUUUUCUGUGAGCCUGUUUCUUUUUUGCUAUAUUCACUAGUUUGUUGUAUUUUUUAGAUUCCACCUGUAAGUGAUAUGUAGUAUUUAGCUUUUUCUCUCUGACUUAUUUCACUUAGCGUAACACAGUAAAGUUUUUCUUGGGAAAUGCUUCUGGUUGACAUUCAGUCAAGUCAUGUCCAUUCCCAACACCAAGGUUAAUACCUUUUUCCCCAGAUCUUUGUUAAAUCACCAUGACACCUGCUUCGCAAAUAGGAGACAUAUUCCAAUUUUAUUAAUCUGACAUAUUCCAAUUUAUUAUUCUGCAUAGCAGAUUAUCCCAUCAGAGUUUACCUUUUAAAAAAAGUUAUUUUAUACUACUUUUUUUUUGCAAGACAUGUAGUUUUAUUAAGUAAAAGUAAUGUUAGCAUUCCGGCUGUGGUCCAGUGAGUUAGGAACCCGACGACAGAGGCUUGGAUCACUGCAGAGCUGCAGGUUCGAUCCCUGGCCUGGCACAGUGGGUUAAAGGAUCCAGUGUUGCCACAGCUGUGGUAUAGGUUGCAGCUGCAGCUUGGAUUCAAUCCCUGGAUUGAAUAACGGGAACUUCCAUAUAUUGUGGGUGUGGCCAUAAAAAAUAGUAAUGUUGUCACUUUCUCUCCGAAUUUUUUGUUUUAUUUUUCUAGUCCCUUAAAAAUUAUUUUCUAGUUUUAUUGAGAAAUAAUUGACAUACAUUAUCGUACUGUUUUAAGGCAUAAAGCGUGAUGGUUUGAUUUGCAACUACUGUGAAACGAUUACCACAAGUUCAGCCAUGUCUUUUAUACAGAUAAAAUAAAAGGAAAACAAAGACAGAUUAUUUUUUCCUU